CGGGGAGGUAGUGACGAAAAAUAACGAUACGGGACUCAUCCGAGGCCCCGUAAUCGGAAUGAGAACACAUUAAAUCCUUUAACGAGGACCAAUUGGAGGGCAAGUCUGGUGCCAGCAGCCGCGGUAAUUCCAGCUCCAAUAGCGUAUAUUAAAGUUGUUGCGGUUAAAAAGCUCGUAGUUGAAUCUGUGUGUCACAGUGUCGGUUCACCGCUCGCGGUGUUUAACUGGCAUUAUGUGGUACGUCCUACCGGCGGGCUUAGCUCUACGGGGCGGUCCAACUAAUAUCCAUCGCGGUGCUCUUUACUGAGUGUCGAGGUGGGCCGGUACGUUUACUUUGAAGAAAUUAGAGUGUUCAAAGCAGGCUCGUUUGCCUGAAUACUGUGUGCAUGGAAUAAUGGAAUAGGACCUCGGUUCUAUUUUGUUGGUUUUCGGAACCCCGAGGUAAUGAUUAAUAGGGACAGAUGGGGGCAUUCGUAUUGCGACGUUAGAGGUGAAAUUCUUGGAUCGUCGCAAGACGUACAGAAGCGAAAGCAUUUGCCAAAAAUGUUUUCAUUAAUCAAGAACGAAAGUUAGAGGUUCGAAGGCGAUCAGAUACCGCCCUAGUUCUAACCAUAAACGAUGCCAGCCAGCGAUCCGCCGAAGUUCCUCCGAUGACUCGGCGGGCAGCCUCCGGGAAACCAAAGCUUUUGGGUUCCGGGGGAAGUAUGGUUGCAAAGCUGAAACUUAAAGGAAUUGACGGAAGGGCACCACCAGGAGUGGAGCCUGCCGCUUAAUUUGACUC
Molecule: ribosomal RNA, 781 nt
Filed under: Thyreus delumbatus
Lineage: Eukaryota; Metazoa; Arthropoda; Insecta; Hymenoptera; Apidae
Description: SSU rRNA
Rfam family: Eukaryotic small subunit ribosomal RNA
Source: RNAcentral